This 904-nucleotide long non-coding RNA is filed under the name Callithrix jacchus (white-tufted-ear marmoset). RNAcentral's name for it is "lncRNA (ENSCJAG00000076278.1)". The record is from RNAcentral. Lineage: Eukaryota; Metazoa; Chordata; Mammalia; Primates; Cebidae.
CCAAAUAUCUGGGACUACAGCCAUGUGCCAUCACACUUGGCUAAUUUUUAAUUUUUUUGUAGAGACGAGGUCUUGCUAUGUUGCCCAGGCUGGGCUCCAACUCCUGAACUCAAGUAAUUGUCCUGCCUUGGCCUCCCAAAGCAUUGGGGUUAUAGGUGUGAGCCACCAUGCCUGACCUACCCCAGCUAACUCUUAAUGACCUAGCCCAAGUGCUUCCCGUCUGGAGCCUUCCCUAGCCUGCCAGAGCACACUGGAGACCUCUUAUAGGUGUCUGUUAUGGCACAAAUGUUUAUGUCUCCCCAAAAUUUGUGUUGAAAUUCUAACCCCAAGGUGGUGGCACUAGGAGGUGGGGCCUUUGGGAGGUGAUUGGGUCAUAAAAGUGGAGACCCCAUUCUUAGGCUGCUGUUGCUAUAAAAACAAACAAACAAACAAAAAGACACCAGAGAGCUGGCUAGUCCCUUCCACCAUGUGAGGACCCAGUGAGGAGGCACGGUCUAUGAAAAUAAGAAUUUUGCUCUGUGUGAAACUGCAUACCUAUUCGUCCAUUUGUUCAGCAAGCACUGAAUGAACUUGUGCUAAGAAGCAGGCGCAGUGCCGUGGGCAAAGGAGACUGAGAUGGAGUCCCUGACCUCAAGGAUUCACUGUCUAACAGAGGAGAAAGACUGCUGUUUUCCUUCAUUACAUGAGUCAUGAAUGCUAAUUGAAGAAGAACUAGAAAAUUCAGAUGUGCGAAAUAAAACAUCACCUGGAAUUCUUCCACCCAUAUUACUGCUGUUAAUAUUUUGUUCUGCUGGUCUCUGCUUGACUCGGAGCAUGACGCCCUCAGGCAGGUAUUCUCCACAUAGUGAAGUCCUAAGCCCUCAUCAUCGCAGCUCACCGGCCGAAAACCCCUCUUGUGACUCCA